Long non-coding RNA from Rhincodon typus (whale shark), 219 nucleotides. RefSeq lists it as uncharacterized. The transcript is spliced from 2 exons. NCBI's taxonomy places the organism in Eukaryota, Metazoa, Chordata, Chondrichthyes, Orectolobiformes, Rhincodontidae. The record is from RefSeq and is a predicted model, not a curated record.
GAUGUAAAAAAACCAGUAAAAAGCUAAUUGGAUGCACAUGUGUGACACCCCACCACAAACCCUCAAAGGAUUCUUGUGUUGCAAUGUCUCUACUUGUGAACCAGGAGGUCCUGCGUUCAAGUACCAGCUGCUCCAGAGCUAACUGAAGAGUUUGGAAAGAUGGAAGCCAAUUCAUCCUUCCUUGCCUGGUCACAAUAAAAGGCACUGUGCACACCUGGA